GGCGGGGCUACCCGCUGAAUUUAAGCAUAUCAAUAAGCGGAGGA
This 44-nucleotide ribosomal RNA is filed under the name Lycium barbarum (goji berry). Its description in RNAcentral is "partial 26S ribosomal RNA". The record is from RNAcentral. Lineage: Eukaryota; Viridiplantae; Streptophyta; Magnoliopsida; Solanales; Solanaceae.